RNAcentral lists this ribosomal RNA (468 nucleotides) under uncultured bacterium. Its description in RNAcentral is "partial 16S ribosomal RNA". It matches the Rfam family "Bacterial small subunit ribosomal RNA", at positions 28 to 507 of the family's 1533-position model. The record is from RNAcentral.
GACGAACGCUGGCGGCGUGCUUAACACAUGCAAGUCGAACGGAAAGGCCCUGCUUUUGUGGGGUGCUCUAGUGACGAACUGGUAAGUAACACUUGAGUAACCUGCCCUUGCCUUUGGGAUAACUUCAGGAAACUUGGGCUAAUCCCGGAUAGGAUCUCCUGCUGCAUGGUGGGGGCUGGAUAGUUUCGGCGGUUGGGGAUGUACUCGCGUCGUAUCAGCUUGUUGGUGGGGUAGUGGCUUACCAAGGCUUUGACGGGUAGCAGGCCUGAGAGGGUGACAGGCCAAAUUGGGACGGAGAUGAGGCACAGACUACUACGGGAGGGAGCAGAGGAGAAUAUUGCACAAUGGGCGGAAGCCUGGUGUAGCAACGCCGCGUGGGGGAUGAGGGGCUUCGGGUUGUAAACCGAUGUCGCCUGUGACGAAGUGUGAGUGACGGUAAUGGGUAAAGAAGCACCGGCUAACUACGUG